RNAcentral lists this ribosomal RNA (468 nucleotides) under uncultured bacterium. RNAcentral describes it as "partial 16S ribosomal RNA". It matches the Rfam family "Bacterial small subunit ribosomal RNA", at positions 28 to 507 of the family's 1533-position model. The record is from RNAcentral.
GACGAACGCUGGCGGCGUGCUUAACACAUGCAAGUCGAACGGAAAGGCCCUGCUUUUGUGGGGUGCUCGAGUGGCGAACGGGUGAGUAACACGUGAGUAACCUGCCCUUGACUUUGGGAUAACUUCAGGAAACUGGGGCUAAUACCGGAUAGGAGCUCCUGCUGCAUGGGGGGGGUUGGACAGUUUCGGCGGUUGGGGAUGUACUCGCGGCUUAUCAGCUUGUUGGUGGGGUAGUGGCUUACCAGGGCUUUGACGGGUAGCCGGCCUGAGAGGGUGACCGGCCACAUUGGGACUGAGAUACGGCCCAGACUCCUACGGGAGGCAGCAGUGGGGAAUAUUGCACAAUGGGCGGAAGCCUGAUGCAGCAACGCCGCGUGCGGGAUGACGGCCUUCGGGUUGUAAACCGCUUUCGCCUGUGACGAAGCGUGAGUGACGGUAAUGGGUAAAGAAGCACCGGCUAACUACGUG